GGUUUAUAUACGCGAUAUGUAUCCACUUAUGACUUAACCCACCCAAAACACUAGGGGUAUUUAAUCAUCUUAUUCUCUUGUUCCUUCUCAUUUGCACAAACCCUAGCCCCCUUCUAGAGAGAGAAAGAAAACUCAUAGAGAAAGAAACAAAUGACCAGCUUAUCUCCGAUGGGAAUGCAACCUCCGGUGAGCCUCCAUUAGCCAUCGACCUAGGGGUCGCUCAACCUAAGCUACUUAACGGGGCAAUGGUGGGUAGAUUUGACUAGCGGCUCAGCCGUUGGUUCUACCCUGAGUCUCCACAAGAGGCUUAUUGUGGCAGUUCACAGCGAAACAGCCCUCACACGGGCAGAUCUAACUAUUGAAGUGGUCUUUAUGACGGUGUGCAUCGAUAUUCCUUCCGCUGAAAAGUGUAGGUCAGGAUCGUGAGGAUGGACCUAGACAACAAAGUUGAAGCAUUCAGUAAAAAAGGGCAAAACAACUGGAUAAAAAUUGCACUUUGAAGAAAGAUGUGAGCAUAUGGACUUGAAGAAAACAACUGCAUAUGAAUUUGUAGCACUUGAAAAUUUUCUUAGUUUAUGUGUAUAUAUGUUUUUUUGCGACUUUAGUUGAUAGGUUUGGAUUAUAAGUUUAUGUCUUUAAUUAGUAUUUGAAUUGAAACUUAUGUAUGGAUUUUGAAUUACUAUUGUUAAUAUCAUUUGGUUAUUAGAUUUUCUUAUGUUUGCUA
RNAcentral lists this long non-coding RNA (724 nucleotides) under Helianthus annuus (common sunflower). Lineage: Eukaryota; Viridiplantae; Streptophyta; Magnoliopsida; Asterales; Asteraceae. The record is from RNAcentral.